This is a long non-coding RNA of Bos taurus (domestic cattle), 5518 nucleotides long. Lineage: Eukaryota; Metazoa; Chordata; Mammalia; Artiodactyla; Bovidae. The record is from Ensembl.
AGAUGAUGUAAGGGCUGUGCCGUGCAGAGCUUCUCCGGGGCCAUGUUGGAAUGGAGCUCUCUGGGAAGAAUGCAGGCACCCUAUCUGUGUUACAGCAAGCCUUGCCCGUCUCCCCACCAAGCUAAAACUCUUCCAAAAGAGAUGCGCGCUUUCCUCAAUGCUCAUCAUGUAGCUCACUUUGUUGCCCCAGCAGCAUGGUUAUCACCCAGGUAAUUCCAAACACAAUCGCUUUUCUACAAGUCACUAAAGCUUUACCUUUAUCGAAAGCAUGAUAGUACCACAUUGUCCUUCUGCUAGGAAGAACAGCAUUAAAUAUCCUGUAUUGAAUGCGGUGAUAUGAAAUGGCAUUUGCCCAGCAAUUCAUAGAAUAAAUGAUCUUUGCCCUCCUGUGGAUAAUUGGAUCAUGAAGGUAGGUGAGGGCUUAACCGUUACCAGGGGAGAUUGCUUUGGGGGAGGUGUUUAAGGGCUGGGUAGUAACUCCUGUGUCUGAGGGGAAAGACACAAAGAGGAGGGGGAAGAACCAGCAUUUACUGAGUCCUGUACUGGGCCAGACACUAGUAUGGAUGCUUUAUGAGAUUACUCUCAUCUCAUCCAUUCUCUUCUUGUCCCUAAUUUAUUCUCGUGCCACCCAUUGCCUUGCUCAAUACACUUUAAUGGUUUCCAGUCACUCUUUGCACAAAGACCUAAUUCCUGAUCACUGGCUUUGAGACCUGGCAUGGUUUGGCUCUUGCUGAUGGGGUUGGCCUGCUUUUUUCUUCAUCUCUUUGUUUUUGGUUCUUCAGUUGUACCUGAACUUCUUUCCUUUGGCCAUAAUUGUUUGGUUCACUUAUAUAUCCCGAAGCCUCGCCCACUUUUGGCACAGAAUAAGUGCUCGAUAAAUAUUCUUGGCUGGAAGAACAAACAAGUGAAUGCAUUUAAUCCUUUCAACCAUCCUCCCAAGAUGAGGAAAUAGAGUGUCAGAUGGUUUCAGAUCCAUGCCUGAGCCUCAGCUGAUAACGUGUAGAAGUGAGCCACGUUUCAGCAAUGCUAUGCAGGUUUCUCUAAGGUCUUGUGUGGGGGCCACAUUGAGACCCCUUAGUAGAUGGAGAAGCGCACACUUAGGAACUGUGCUACCCAACAUGAUGGAGAGAUAAGCAGGACUGGGCCAGCCAACUAUAUCCUGAUGCAAUUUUCUUUCCCCUCAGAUGUGUUUGUGGCCCUGGUGUUCCCUGAGAAGUUUUAUUUAUCUGUGGAUUUUAUCUGAAGAAAGGCAGUCAGAGGAUGUUCUUUAGAGGCCAAGCACAGGACCAACCCAGAAAGGAUACGCAGUAAGAAUUUACUGACACUGAAUCUGGAAGAUUUGACAUUCUCUGCCCUUCUUUCAGUCUGGAAUAAGGAGCAGUAGGCAUUUGCCAAUUUGAGUGGUCCUCCCUGAGACUGCUGAGUAGUUUGGCAUUGUGGGAAUUUGUUUCACACUAUUCUGAGUGUGCAAUCCAACCCUAAACCCUCUCACUACAGUUCCAUCCCAUUGCUAUUACUUGAAAUAAAGGGCAAGUGUGUAUGCGGGUGUGCUAAGUCAUUUCAGUUGUGUCCGACUCUGCAUGACCUCACUGACUGUAGCCCGCCAGGCUCCACUGUCCAUGGGAAUCUCCAGGCAAGAAUACUGGAGUGGAUUGUCACACCCUCCUCAAGAGGAUCUUCCUGACCCAGGGAUAGAACCCAUGUCUCUUACAUCUCCUGCAUUGGCAGGAGAGAUUCACAAGCUGCUAUGAAAGUGAUGGCUACAGGUGUCUAAAUCUGAUUGAGGAGAGAAUGUCUUGAAUGAGAAUUCCAGGCAAGUAGUUCAUUUGGGAGAUGGCUCCAGGAAGCCCUGAGCUGAGUGGACGGGAAAGGCAGCCAGUGCAGGAGAUUUAGCAGGCAAGCCACCAGAGCCUCAUUUCACUGGGGACGUCACGGAACAUGCAUCUCUGGGUUAUGCCCCCUCUCGCAUAGGAGUGAGGGAUUUGGGGUAUUUAUCCACCAACACCUGUCCAUUAUUAACUGUGGGCUGCUCCCAGGGGAUGUCAGGUCCCAGGAAGUCUAGUAGGCUGUGCACUCUGGGAGAGCAGGCUCCAGGGCCCCCAGAAGGGAAAUAAAGUGACAUGGGGGUGCUCUCCAAAGUCAGGCCAGUGUAAUAACCUACGAUUGUGGAAAUGACUGUAACAACAUGUGGAUUUUCCCCUUUAGACUAAUUUUUAUCAUUUGGAAAAUGCUAGGAGCUUCCCUGGUGGCUCAGAUGGAAAAUAAUUUGCCUGCAAUGUGGGAGACCUGGGUUUGAUUCCUGGGUUGGGAAGAUCCUCUGGAGAAGGUAAUGGCUACCCAUUCCAGUAUUCUUGCUUGGAAAACCCAUGGACAGAAGAGCCUGGAGGGCUACCGUCCAUGGGGUCUCAUAGAGUCAGACAUGACUGAACAACUAACACUUUCACGGUUUCACAGGGGGAAAAACAACCUCCCAGUGUUCCAAUACUUAUGAAAUCCAUGAGUGAUGAAAAUUUUAUGCUCAACUUGUCAUAAAAAAACAGAGAAACAGAGUCACCUGUAUCAGCUCUUCAAAUCAUCCAGCCACUCCUUCAAUAAAUGCCAUAACUGUAGAGGAAAGUCUCUAAAAAAAUAAACUUCUCCAGGAAGAGGAGAGAAGAGGAGGUAUGAAUGUAGGGGCGUGCAGGAGGCAGGGAAGUGUUGGAUGCAGCAGGAAGUGCUCUGGCGAGGGAACGGGGGCCUGUGCACCCCGCAUCCAGCCUCGGCCUCCUCAGCGGUAAUGUGUAGGCAGCACUGCACGCCUGGACACUCUCUAGCCAUCUUCCAUCUCUGCCUGUAAGUUCUACCCUAAGAUGGUGCAUUGGGCACUCAGGUUAUGCAGAGGCUACAUGCAGAGGGUUAUUGAUCAGAGUUCAAGCAUGGCUUCUGCAUAAUUCUCCUGCUUUUGAAGCUUACCCCUAUGGUAAUAUUGGGGUGUUAGCCAUUGUCCCUCCAUAUCUAAUGGUCCAUCCACACAUGUCUCACCCUCUUGGCAGUGGGCCAUGUCCUCCCUAUCUAGUAUACAGCGUUGCUCAGUAAAUGCUUGUUUUUUACUAAGCUUUAAGAAACAUUUUCAGAACAUGUUGGGGCUUCCCUUGUGGCUCAGCUGGUAAAGAAUCUGUCUGCAAUGCAGGAGACCUGGGUUUGAUCCCUGGGUUGGGAAGAUCCCCUAGAGAAGGGAAAGAGACCCUUCCCCAGUAUUCUGGCCUGGAGAAUUCCAUGGAAUAUAUAGUCCAUGGGGUUGCAAAGAGUCAGACACAACUGAACGACUUUCACUUUAGAACAUGUUUUAUUUAUCUUUAGUCCCUGCUUCCAACUGUCCACUGCCUUGUGGCCCUUCUCAUUUUCUUAAUAACAUCUGGGCAGAUUGCAUAACUUUCUGAUCACUUAAAAAUUUUUUUAAAUCAUAAUAAAAUACACACAACAUAAAAUUUACCAUGUUAACCAUUUUUUAAGAAGAUUUUUUUUCAUGUGGAUUGUUUUUAAAUUCUUUAUUGAAUUUGUUACAGUAUUGCUUCUGUUUUAUGUUUUGGUUUUUUGGCCCCAAGACAUGUAGGAUCUUAGCUACCUUAUCAGGGAUAGAACCUGAACCCCCUCCACUGGAAGGUGAGGUCUUAACCACUGGACCAUCAGGAAAGUCCCUUUCUUAACCAUUUUUAUGUGCACAGUUCAGUAGUGUUAGACAUUGACUUAGUUGUGUAACCCAUCUGCAGAAUGUUGCAUCUUACAAAACUGGUACUUUGUACCCAGUAAACUACAGCUCCCCACCACCCACCUAUGCCAGCUUCUGGCAACUGGCAUUCAUCUUUCUGUGAGUUGGAUAAUUCUAGGUACCCCAUAUAAGUCGGACACGACUGAAGCAACUUAGCAGCAGCGGCAGCAUAUAAGUGAAAUCAUAUAGCAUUUAUCCUUUUAUGUCUUGUCUUUUAUUAAGCAUCAUGGCCAUUCAUCUUGGACUGUGUAUCAGAACUUUCUUGCUCUUUAAAAGUGAAAGUCACUCAGUCAUGUCCAACUCUUUAUGACAACAUGGACAGUACAGUCCAUGGAAUUCUCCAGGCCAGAGUACUGGAGUGGGUAGCCUUUCCCUUCUCCAGGGGAUCUUCCCAACCCAGGGAUCGAACCCUGGUCUCCACAUUGCAUGUGGAUUCUUUACCAGCUGAGCCAAAAGGGAAGCCCCUUCCUCUUUAAGGCUGAAUAAUAUUCUAUUGUAUUUAAUACAUCACUUUUUAUUUGUUUUUUUACCCAGUGACAGAGACUUGGAUUAAACUGCAUGUUUUUAAAUGAAUGAAGAAGAAUUCCUUGGACUACAGGGAGAUUAAAAAUAGCUGAGCACUGAAGAAUUGAUGCUUUUGAACUGUGGUACUGGAGAAGACUCCUGAGAGUCCCUUGGACUGCAAGGAGAUCCACCCAGUCCAUCCUAAAGGAGAUCAGUCCUGAAUAUUCACUGGAAGGACUGAUGCUGAAGCUGAAGCUCCAGUACUUUAGCCACCUGAUGUGAAGAGCUGACUCAUUAGAAAAGACCCCAAUGUUGGGAAAGGUUGAAGACAGAAGGAGAAGGGGAUGACAGAAGACCAGAUGGUUGGAUGGCAUCACCGACUCAAUGGACAUGAGUUUGAGCAAGCACCAGGAGAUGGUGAAGGACAGAGAAACCUGGCGUGCUGCAGUCCAUGGGAUCCACGGAGAAUCAGACAAGACUGAGCAACUGAACAAAAAUUAAACUCAAAUCUUGCCCGUCAACAGCUGACUUUGAACCCACAUAUUAAGAAACUUCAAAAAAGUAUUGUUCUACAUAUAAAUCCCUCUUUUUAAAACUUUUGCAACUUUUGAUGAGAGUUUUCCCCCUUCUUAAAAAAGAAACUCACCUUUGUUGAGUAUUUACUCUCUACCAAAAGUUGCAACAUUUUCCAAGUGAGAAAAGAACAUGCUGUCAUGAUCUGAUCAGUGACACUGUUACUGCUAUUCAGGUGCUGCCAGGUUCCCGGCAUCAUGUGAACCCAUGACCCAAACAUACCAUCUGUGGGACACCACUUCACAUCCCUGACAUCUUGCCACAGUGAUUUUUUUUUUUUUUUUUACUGUUUUUACCAUAACAUUGUUGACUCCCAGGAAUGAUUUACUUGUUAUGAGAAUUUUCCAGUAAAUGGUAAUAAGACGCCACGAUCUAACAAAAUUAGAAUAUUACAACAAUUUUGACAAUGGAAGUAAAGAAAUUGUUUUUAACUUAAGGAAUUAUCAUAAUCAAAUGACAGUGUCAAUCUAGCACCUAAAAUAGCCAGUGACUCUAAACAAAGAUUAGGCAAGUAAUGAACUCACGGGUGAGGACUUGCACAUGUAAAAUUUUUUUUUAAAUCCUUAUUGUGAAUGGCACAGUGCCAGUAUAUAAUAUACUUUAUUGACAUUCAAAUCAUCUGUUGUUUUUUAAAGUACUAAGGUGAAAUUGCUGGGUCCCCAGUUUAAAUUGAAUUACCUUCAUUACAACAUG